This 552-nucleotide long non-coding RNA is filed under the name Coturnix japonica (Japanese quail). RNAcentral describes it as "lncRNA (ENSCJPG00005014365.1)". Lineage: Eukaryota; Metazoa; Chordata; Aves; Galliformes; Phasianidae. The record is from RNAcentral.
GGCUCCUGUUGUUCCGUCAGGCCCCGCCCCGCAUUCACUACGUGGAGGACGGUUUGUUGCGGUGCUCGGAGCCCAGCCGGGCUGUAGCGAGGCGGCUAACCUUGUUUGGUUUCCUCUUUGCUUAUGGACGUGGCGUGUGGAAGCACGGAGCAAACAGCGCCAUGUGCCCCGAGGGAGAGCGGCUGUGUGAGCCCUGCUCAGUGGUCCCAGCGGUGUCGUGCUGCCAUCGCGGUGGAUUCCGUUCAGAACAAACCCCAAACAUGUAGGAAAACUCUAGAAUGCCAGAAGUUAUGGAAUCCUUGCUCCAUCUCAAGAAGAGGACCAUGAUCUGAAUAGUUACAGAAGAGUUUUCUUGUCCUGCUGCUUUUACCGUGAACAGCAAGUCAUCAACAAAUCUGUGGUGAAAGUUCCGAUAUUUCAAAGGACGUAUAAUCUGCUGUGCUUUUCAGAAUCCCGAAAUAGGUAAGACAUAAUCAAAUUUUAAACUACAUCAUGUUUUGCCAGUCAGGCACCAUUAUAAUUUGAGAGGCGUGAUGUGAUGCAAUGAGAUGU